This 251-nucleotide unclassified non-coding RNA is filed under the name Hevea brasiliensis (rubber tree). The record is from RNAcentral. Lineage: Eukaryota; Viridiplantae; Streptophyta; Magnoliopsida; Malpighiales; Euphorbiaceae.
CUUAAACAUGACAAAACAAAUAAGAGGUACAACCCUCAUCCAACAAAAUCAUGGGUCACUAGACUGUGAACAACACUGACAUAACAGGAGAGUGCCGCAAUAAUCAUCACCUCAACAAUAUGUGGACUAGAACAUAAGGCAAAAAUUUCAAGGAUGCACGAAUAGGGAAGAGUGACUGAGAGCAUGCUGACUAAAGCUUUUCAGAUCUUUCUGUAAAAAUUAAAGACUUAAUAGAGCGUGACCGCCAGGGG